AUUGAACGCUGGCGGCAGGCCUAACACAUGCAAGUCGAGCGGAUGAAGGGAGCUUGCUCCUGGAUUCAGCGGCGGACGGGUGAGUAAUGCCUAGGAAUCUGCCUGGUAGUGGGGGAUAACGUCCGGAAACGGGCGCUAAUACCGCAUACGUCCUGAGGGAGAAAGUGGGGGAUCUUCGGACCUCACGCUAUCAGAUGAGCCUAGGUCGGAUUAGCUAGUUGGUGGGGUAAAGGCCUACCAAGGCGACGAUCCGUAACUGGUCUGAGAGGAUGAUCAGUCACACUGGAACUGAGACACGGUCCAGACUCCUACGGGAGGCAGCAGUGGGGAAUAUUGGACAAUGGGCGAAAGCCUGAUCCAGCCACGCCACGUGUGUGAAGAAGGUCUUCGGAUUGUAAAGCACUUUAAGUUGGGAGGAAGGGCAGUAAGUUAAUACCUUGCUGUUUUGACGUUACCAACAGAAUAAGCACCGGCUAACUUCGUG
RNAcentral lists this ribosomal RNA (484 nucleotides) under uncultured bacterium. Its description in RNAcentral is "partial 16S ribosomal RNA". It matches the Rfam family "Bacterial small subunit ribosomal RNA", at positions 30 to 507 of the family's 1533-position model. The record is from RNAcentral.